AUGGCGUCGAGGAGGCAAGCCGCCGCCGCCGCCAGCGAUGCUCUUGCUCAAGAACACAAGGGCGAUGCCAAGCCUGUCAGGAGACCGAAGGCCGCGGCUGGCCAACAACCAGCAGCGAGACCCCGUCCAGCCCUUAUCGAUCUCAGUAAUCGGAUGAGUAGCCGGGCUGCUCUGGCUGUUCCAAAUCGUCCCAAGGCAGUAGCUGUUGCAGCGGUUGACAAUUGUAGGAAAGCAAUAAAGAAGCAGAAGGAGAACAACAGAGUGAAGCCCGAAGUGAUCGUGAUAAGCUCAGACUCCGAGAAUGAAAAGAAAAAUCCAGGCAAGAGAGCCACCUCCUGGAGGGCGCCGCCGCUUACCGCAAUUCUAACCAAAUGCAGCAGGGAAUCUGAUGGGGUGAUCUCCAGCACGAAGAAGGUCUCGGCGACAUACAACAUCGAUAAAGCUGAUGCUCACAAUGAGCUCGCAGUGGUAGAUUACGUUGAAGACAUUUACAGGUUCUACAAGAGCACUGAGGGAAGCUCACGACCUCUCUGCACCUACAUGAGCUCACAGACUGAUAUCAAUGAGAGGAUGCGAGCUAUUCUGAUUGAUUGGCUCAUCGAAGUGCACCACAGGCUUAUGCUUAUGCCAGAGACUUUAUAUCUCACGGUCUACAUCAUUGAUCAGUACUUAUCCAUGGAGAAUGUGCUGAGAAAGGAGCUCCAGCUCGUUGGCGUAAGCGCCAUGCUUAUAUCAUGCAAGUAUGAAGAAAUAUGGGCUCCACUGGUUAAGGAGCUUUUGGUCCUAUCAGACAAUGCAUUUAGCAGGGAGCAGGUCCUAAGCACGGAGAAGUCCAUACUAAACAAGCUCCAGUGGAACUUAACAGUUCCGACGGUGUAUGUGUUCCUCCUUCGAUAUGCGAAAGCUGCGAUGGGCGACAAGGAGCUGGAGAACAUGGCAUUUUUUUAUGCUGAGCUCGCACUGGUGGACUACUCGAUGCUCGUGUACUCGCCAUCCGUGACUGCGGCAGCGGCUGUGUACACUGCUCGGUGCACCCUGAACAUGAGUCCGGGAUGGAGCGACAUCCUGGAGCACCACACCGGCUUAGGCGAGUCGCAGUUGAUGCAGUGCGCAAGGCGACUGGCAAGCCUGCACUCGACGGCAGCGGGGAGCAGCAAGCAGAAGGUGGUCUACAACAAGUACGCAAAUCCCAAGCUUGGGGCCGUGUCGCUCUACUCACCGGCCAAGAGACUAGCCAUCUGA
This 1242-nucleotide ribosomal RNA is filed under the name Triticum aestivum (bread wheat). RNAcentral's name for it is "partial small subunit ribosomal RNA". The record is from RNAcentral. Lineage: Eukaryota; Viridiplantae; Streptophyta; Magnoliopsida; Poales; Poaceae.